GAUGAACGCUAGCGGCAGGCUUAACACAUGCAAGUCGAGGGGUAUAGUUCUUCGGAAUUAGAGACCGGCGCACGGGUGCGUAACGCGUAUGCAACCUACCUUUUACAGAGGGAUAGCCCAGAGAAAUUUGGAUUAAUACCUCAUAGUGUUAUUAGAUGGCAUCAUUUGAUAACUAAAGUUCCAACGGUAAAAGAUGGGCAUGCGUCCUAUUAGCUAGAUGGUAAGGUAACGGCUUACCAUGGCUACGAUAGGUAGGGGUCCUGAGAGGGAGAUCCCCCACACUGGUACUGAGACACGGACCAGACUCCUACGGGAGGCAGCAGUGAGGAAUAUUGGAC
RNAcentral lists this ribosomal RNA (338 nucleotides) under uncultured bacterium. RNAcentral's name for it is "bacterial SSU rRNA". It matches the Rfam family "Bacterial small subunit ribosomal RNA", at positions 28 to 369 of the family's 1533-position model. The record is from RNAcentral.